UCCAGACUCCUACGGGAGGCAGCAGUGAGGAAUAUUGGUCAAUGGGCGGGAGCCUGAACCAGCCAAGUCGCGUGAGGGAAGACGGUCCUAUGGAUUGUAAACCUCUUUAGGCGGGGAGCAAUGCCGGGCACGCGUGUCCGGAGGGAGAGUACCCGCAGAAUAAGCAUCGGCUAACUCCGUGCCAGCAGCCGCGGUAAUACGGAGGAUGCGAGCGUUAUCCGGAUUUACUGGGUGUAAAGGGAGCGUAGACGGCAGCACAAGUCUGAAGUGAAAUGCCGGGGCUUAACCCCGGAACUGCUUUGGAAACUGUGCAGCUAGAGUGCAGGAGAGGGAAGUGGAAUUCCUAGUGUAGCGGUGAAAUGCGUAGAUAUUAGGAGGAACACCAGUGGCGAAGGCGGCUUACUGGACGGUAACUGACGUUGAGGCUCGAAAGCGUGGGGAGCAAACAGGAUUAGAUACCCGCGUAUGA
This 469-nucleotide ribosomal RNA is filed under the name uncultured bacterium. RNAcentral's name for it is "bacterial SSU rRNA". It matches the Rfam family "Bacterial small subunit ribosomal RNA", at positions 330 to 794 of the family's 1533-position model. The record is from RNAcentral.